Vidua chalybeata is the source of this 1120-nucleotide long non-coding RNA. RefSeq lists it as uncharacterized. The transcript has 5 exons. NCBI's taxonomy places the organism in Eukaryota, Metazoa, Chordata, Aves, Passeriformes, Viduidae. The record is from RefSeq and is a predicted model, not a curated record.
AGAUAUAGCACAGGGGGCGGUGGCACCUGCGGGGUUGUUCUGCGCAUGCGCACGGGGCGGGACCAGCACCAGCGGGUGCCUCAGGGGCCGCCAUCUUGUCAUGCUGAGGGAAUGGGGGAAGUUUAAAGCCAUUCCCAAUGAGAACCAAGGAGUUAAACAGAGAAUAUGACGUGAUCUGGGUGAUGGUGUUCAGCAGUGACCCAAAAAGACACAUGUACUCCUCUACUCUAAGACUUUCCCACCAGAGCACAUGGGAGGAAAAGACCACAAGUGCAGAAAGUACCCAAGGCAAAGAAGCUGUUGACUCAUCCAGUUUACUAAAAUCUCACGGUGCUCAGCUUGUGCUUUCUCCAGGGUUCCUUCCAUCGCCAGAGAUGGGUGAGCUUCAAAAACCCCCAUCAGAGAGCACUGUGACAUUCCUGCCGUGUUGUGGUCUCAUCCUCCAUUUUCUCCAAGAAUCCAUUUCCACCUUUAGUUUAAAUGUAUUUUUAAAGCCUUUCCCACCAAUUUGCUUUCACUGAUCAUUUGCUUACUACAUUUAAACAAACUCAUUCAUACAUGAAAUCAAAAGGCACAAAAAAUUCCUCAUGUGCUAUGAUGAGGAAAUUGCUGUCUUACUCCAUGGAAAUCAGACAGUCCAAUUUCUUUUACAACUGUAGACAAUCUCCAAUGAUUUCUAUCAGUGAGAUGAACUUAGUAAUUGCUACAAUUUUCAGCAGGGAGAAACAAAAGAAAUAAAACUGAAUAAUAAAAAAAUGAUAGAUCGGCAACUGUGUGCAGUCUGAAGAGCCACUCGUUAGCUGGCACUGAAAGAAAAAACAGGUGCAGUUGUCUCGCUCUGCAUUAUUUACCUCUGGAAAACUCAAUGACUGUUGAAGUACCUGCAAAACAAAGCAGUGCAGUAAAUAAGCAGAACUGAUUGAACCUCAAAACAGCAGGUUUCAGCCUGUUCUUCUGCCUGCAUGAAGUCUUGAGCAUAUUUUUUCCAGCUGGCCCUACCUUCUGCAUUGAACUGGUAAUAGAAGAAGAAGGCCUGUUGUGUAAGAAAAAAGCUAUUUCCCCUCAGUGUCAGCUCUCCUGCCAUGUGCAGAGGUCUCUGCAUCUCCACCCAGCCCAGGAG